RNAcentral lists this ribosomal RNA (609 nucleotides) under Pseudoclavibacter sp. bubt23. RNAcentral's name for it is "bacterial SSU rRNA". It matches the Rfam family "Bacterial small subunit ribosomal RNA", at positions 38 to 658 of the family's 1533-position model. The record is from RNAcentral. Lineage: Bacteria; Bacillati; Actinomycetota; Actinomycetes; Micrococcales; Microbacteriaceae.
GGCGGCGUGCUUAACACAUGCAAGUCGAACGAUGAAGCCCAGCUUGCUGGGUGGAUUAGUGGCGAACGGGUGAGUAACACGUGAGCAACGUGCCCAUAACUCUGGGAUAACCUCCGGAAACGGUGGCUAAUACUGGAUAUCUAACAUGAUCGCAUGGUCUGUGUUUGGAAAGAUUUUUUGGUUAUGGAUCGGCUCACGGCCUAUCAGCUUGUUGGUGAGGUAAUGGCUCACCAAGGCGACGACGGGUAGCCGGCCUGAGAGGGUGACCGGCCACACUGGGACUGAGACACGGCCCAGACUCCUACGGGAGGCAGCAGUGGGGAAUAUUGCACAAUGGGCGGAAGCCUGAUGCAGCAACGCCGCGUGAGGGAUGACGGCCUUCGGGUUGUAAACCUCUUUUAGUAGGGAAGAAGCGAGAGUGACGGUACCUGCAGAAAAAGCACCGGCUAACUACGUGCCAGCAGCCGCGGUAAUACGUAGGGUGCAAGCGUUGUCCGGAAUUAUUGGGCGUAAAGAGCUCGUAGGCGGUUUGUCGCGUCUGCUGUGAAAUCCCGAGGCUCAACCUCGGGUCUGCAGUGGGUACGGGCAGACCUAGAGUGCGGUAGUGGA